RNAcentral lists this ribosomal RNA (500 nucleotides) under uncultured bacterium. Its description in RNAcentral is "bacterial SSU rRNA". It matches the Rfam family "Bacterial small subunit ribosomal RNA", at positions 40 to 518 of the family's 1533-position model. The record is from RNAcentral.
CGGCAGGCCUAACACAUGCAAGUCGAGCGUGAAAGGGGCUUCGGCCCUGAGUAAAGCGGCGCACGGGUGAGUAACACGUGAAUAAUCUGCCCCCAUGACCGGGAUAACAGACCGAAAGGACUGCUAAUACCGGAUAAGCUUCCGCACCAACCGGGUGUGUGGGGAAAAGGACGGGACCUUCGGGCCGUCCGCAUGAGGAUGAGUUCGCGUUCCAUUAGAUAGUUGGUGAGGUAAUGGCUCACCAAGUCGACGAUGGAUAGCUGGUCUAAGAGGAUGAUCAGCCACACUGGAACUGAGACACGGUCCAGACUCCUACGGGAGGCAGCAGUGGGGAAUCUUGCGCAAUGGAGGAAACUCUGACGCAGCCAUGCCGCGUGAGUGAUGAAGGCCCUCGGGUUGUAAAGCUCUGUCUAAGGGGACGAAUGGCGCACGGAACAAGACAUCGUGCGAUUGACGGUACCCUUAAAGAAAACACCGGCUAACUCCGUGCCAGCCGCUGC